Molecule: long non-coding RNA, 303 nt
Filed under: Nicotiana benthamiana
Lineage: Eukaryota; Viridiplantae; Streptophyta; Magnoliopsida; Solanales; Solanaceae
Description: long non-coding RNA (NBEN_LNC031939)
Source: RNAcentral
CGACAGUGGCGAACCCACAUUGUGAUUGGAAAAAAUAUUCUUGCCUAGGAAUAAUAUCCACGACCAAUAACAAUAACACAAGAGAGUAACAACGAUACCAAAUAUUUUAACGGGAUAAAAUACAAUAUCCCAGCGGAGCAAUAUUACCACUAUAAUACUACAACUUAAUAGUGUCAAGAAAUUACUACAACUUCAAAAGAAAUAAUACUCUUUAUUUUAAACAUCUCAUUACAAUAUUACUCUCACUCAUUAUUUAACUCACAUACUACAAUCUAUGAAUAACUCUCUCUAACUCUCUAUUGC